UACAGAGGGUGCGAGCGUUAAUCGGAAUUACUGGGCGUAAAGCGCGCGUAGGCGGCUUUGCAAGUCGGAUGUGAAAUCCCCAGGCUUAACCUGGGAACUGCAUUCGAGACUGCAUUGCUAGAGUAUGGGAGAGGGAAGUGGAAUUUCCGGUGUAGCGGUGAAAUUCGUAGAUAUUAGGAAGAACACCGGUGGCGAAGGCGGCCCACUGGAUCGGUACUGACGCUGAGGUGCGAAAGCGUGGGGAGCAAACAGG
This 253-nucleotide ribosomal RNA is filed under the name uncultured bacterium. RNAcentral's name for it is "partial 16S ribosomal RNA". It matches the Rfam family "Bacterial small subunit ribosomal RNA", at positions 524 to 776 of the family's 1533-position model. The record is from RNAcentral.